AGCGAACGCUGGCGGCAGGCCUAAUACAUGCAAGUCGAACGAGCCCUUCGGGGCUAGUGGCGGACGGGUGAGUAACACGUGGGAACGUACCCUUUGGUUCGGAACAACUCAGGGAAACUUGAGCUAAUACCGGAUGUGCCCCCAUCCUUGAACAAGAUGGGUGGGAAAGAUUUAUCGCCAUUGGAGCGGCCCGCGUCUGAUUAGCUUGUUGGUGAGGUAAAGGCUCACCAAGGCUACGAUCAGUAGCUGGUCUGAGAGGAUGAUCAGCCACACUGGG
This 277-nucleotide ribosomal RNA is filed under the name uncultured bacterium. Its description in RNAcentral is "partial 16S ribosomal RNA". It matches the Rfam family "Bacterial small subunit ribosomal RNA", at positions 29 to 317 of the family's 1533-position model. The record is from RNAcentral.